UCGGGAAUAUUGCGCAAUGGGGGAAACCCUGAUGCAGCGACGCCGCGUGAGGGAAGAAGGCCUUCGGGUUGUAAACCUCUGUCCUAUGGGAAGAAAAAAAUUGACGGUACCAUAGGAGGAAGCUCCGGCUAACUACGUGCCAGCAGCCGCGGUAAUACGUAGGGAGCGAGCGUUGUCCGGAAUUACUGGGCGUAAAGGGUGCGUAGGCGGUUAUUUAAGUCAGAUGUGAAAUACUUGAGCUUAACUCAGGGGCUGCAUCUGAUACUGGGUGACUAGAGUGCAGGAGAGGAAAGUGGAAUUCCUAGUGUAGCGGUGGAAUGCGUAGAUAUUAGGAGGAACACCAGUGGCGAAGGCGACUUUCUGGACUGUAACUGACGCUGAGGCACGAAAGUAUGGGGAGCAAACAGGAUUAGAUACC
Molecule: ribosomal RNA, 418 nt
Filed under: uncultured bacterium
Lineage: Bacteria
Description: bacterial SSU rRNA
Rfam family: Bacterial small subunit ribosomal RNA
Source: RNAcentral